Long non-coding RNA from Argentina anserina (silverweed cinquefoil), 702 nucleotides. RefSeq lists it as uncharacterized. The transcript is spliced from 2 exons. NCBI's taxonomy places the organism in Eukaryota, Viridiplantae, Streptophyta, Magnoliopsida, Rosales, Rosaceae. The record is from RefSeq and is a predicted model, not a curated record.
CCAGCCGAGCUUUGUAGACAGUUCCAAAACCACCUUCACCUAUAAGUUGUGAUUUUGAGAAGUUGCGGGUUGCCCUGGCAAUCUGACUCAAAUUGAGAUAAACAGAACCAAGUCUACUUAGUUUUGGAGAGUUUGUAUAUCUAGGACUAGGUGGUACACGGUGUGGACUGGCUGAUAUCUUUUCAGCGGCAUGGGGUUUCACUUCAAAAGAAGGUGAAUUAUCCACUGCAAAAGAAUAGUCAAUUUUAGCAUAACAAUAUAUAGAAAUAAAAAGGUCAUAUUAAGGAAAAAACUAAUUUAAGAUGGACACAGAAGUGCAACAGUGUACAUAAUUGUAAACAUAUCACUAUAACAGCAUGGACAGGUCAGAUAGUACUGUUAAUCUAACAUUUGAACGAAUGCAUUUAAAUGGUAACACGGAGCAUUUGGUCACGCUAUCAUAUGACAACCUGAUAUGUGAUAACCUGGAGUUAGUACUAAACGCUUGAGAUGUAAGAGACUUACUUGAAUUUGUGUCCUUAGCAAGAGCAUUGUGAGCAGUUUCUCUCCUUUUCUUAUAGAAGCAGGGACAAAGGAAAACACAACACACCAACAACGCUCCACUUGCUGCGAUUCCAACUGUUUUGGUCGUGAACAUAUAUAAGUCUUUUCCAUGAUGGAUAGGGGAUCCAUCCUUGGGCUCGUUAUGCAUAAGUUUUCUUG